GAUGAACGCUAGCUACAGGCUUAACACAUGCAAGUCGAGGGGAAACGGCAUCGAAAGCUUGCUUUUGAUGGGCGUCGACCGGCGCACGGGUGAGUAACGCGUAUCCAACCUGCCCAUCACUUGGGAAUAACCUUGCGAAAGUAAGACUAAUGCCCAAUGACAUCCCACGAAGGCAUCCGAAUGGGAUUAAAGAUUUAUCGGUGAUGGAUGGGGAUGCGUCUGAUUAGCUUGUUGGCGGGGUGACGGCCCACCAAGGCAACGAUCAGUAGGGGUUCUGAGAGGAAGGUACCCCACAUUGGAACUGAGACACGGUCCAAACUCCUACGGGAGGCAGCAGUGAGGAAUAUUGAUCAAUGGGCGAGAGCCUGAACCAGCCAAGUAGCGUGCAGGAGGACGGCCCUAUGGGUUGUAAACUGCUUUUAUAAGGGAAUAAAGUGGGUCACGUGUGACUUUUUGCAUGUACCUAAUGAAUAAGGACCGGCUAAUUCCGUG
Molecule: ribosomal RNA, 492 nt
Filed under: uncultured bacterium
Lineage: Bacteria
Description: partial 16S ribosomal RNA
Rfam family: Bacterial small subunit ribosomal RNA
Source: RNAcentral